UGGGGAAUCUUCCGCAAUGGGCGAAAGCCUGACGGAGCAACGCCGCGUGAGGGACGAAGGCCUCUGGGCUGUAAACCUCUUUUCUCAAGGAAGAAGAUAUGACGGUACUUGAGGAAUAAGCCACGGCUAAUUCCGUGCCAGCAGCCGCGGUAAUACGGGAGUGGCAAGCGUUAUCCGGAAUUAUUGGGCGUAAAGCGUCCGCAGGCGGCUUUUCAAGUCUGCUGUUAAAGCGUGGAGCUUAACUCCAUCAUGGCAGUGGAAACUGAAAGGCUUGAGUAUGGUAGGGGCAGAGGGAAUUCCCGGUGUAGCGGUGAAAUGCGUAGAUAUCGGGAAGAACACCAGUGGCGAAGGCGCUCUGCUGGGCCAUUACUGACGCUCAUGGACGAAAGCCAGGGGAGCGAAAGGGAUUAGAUACCCCUGUAGUCA
RNAcentral lists this ribosomal RNA (426 nucleotides) under uncultured cyanobacterium. RNAcentral's name for it is "bacterial SSU rRNA". It matches the Rfam family "Bacterial small subunit ribosomal RNA", at positions 355 to 796 of the family's 1533-position model. The record is from RNAcentral. Lineage: Bacteria; Bacillati; Cyanobacteriota.